RNAcentral lists this ribosomal RNA (441 nucleotides) under uncultured bacterium. RNAcentral describes it as "partial 16S ribosomal RNA". It matches the Rfam family "Bacterial small subunit ribosomal RNA", at positions 338 to 795 of the family's 1533-position model. The record is from RNAcentral.
CCUACGGGAGGCUGCAGUGGGGGAUAUUGCACAAUGGGGGAAACCCUGAUGCAGCGACGCCGCGUGGGUGAAGCAGUAUUUCGGUAUGUAAAGCCCUAUCAGCAGGGAAGAAAGAAGACGGUACCUGACUAAGAAGCCCCGGCUAACUACGUGCCAGCAGCCGCGGUAAUACGUAGGGGGCGAGCGUUAUCCGGAUUCACUGGGUGUAACGGGAGCGUCGACGGCCGUGCAAGCCAGGAGUGAAAGCCCGGGGCCCAACCCCGGGACUGCCCUUGGAACUGUGCGGCUGGAGUGCGGGAGGGGCAGGCGGAAUUCCUGGUGUAGCGGGGAAAUGCGGAGAUAUCAGGAGGAACACCGGCGGCGAAGGCGGCCUGCUGGACCGCGACUGACGUGGAGGCUCGAAAGCGUGGGGAGCGAACAGGAUUAGAUACCCGUGUAGUC